GUAAAAAUAACCUACAGAAUUAUGGGACAGGAAAAAAAAAAAACAUGUUGUUAGUUUUUAUUAAACAUAGAUCAUCUGCUUAAUUUGUCCUAUUGUAAUCAUCUUUUUUAAAAAUAUUACACGUCUGUGUCUUAUGCAUACACAAUAACAUCGUCUACACAACUUAAAUACCCAAUAAGAAGUUUACGUUUCUCUAUCAGAGGACAGAAACAUUAUAAAAUUAUUGUUAUAUUUUCCCACAUGUGUAUUUGUUAAGUCCUGCUGUUAACUACCAAUUGCCACUUUUGACUGGUCCCAUUGUUUUGAUUAAACAACAGUAUUCAGGUAACAGAGCAGCAAAUAGAAUAAUAUAAUUUCAAAUAAACACUUGUUUUUCAUAUUUUUAUGGUAAUGUAACAAUACACGUGUGUUGGAAGUAUUCAGUUUGUAUUUCAGGUUUAUGUUUGUUCGUUUCCACCUGGCACGGCUCUGUCCUGGGUCGGCCCUCUAAAGCUGGCGUCGCGGGCACACUCAACUCCGCGGUGCUGAGAAGGGACGGGACAAAUACUCCGAGCGCGGCAGAGCGCCCUUGAGCUCCGAGAGGGCUCCCGCGGAGAGAACCGGCCGCCAGAAAAUGACUCUGGGAACCAGGAUUGAGCGGCCUGAGCACGGGAGAUGGUCAGAAGCCACGGACGCUUUCUGCCCCAGCGUCUUCCUUUGCAGGGACAUCUGAAUUCCUUGGCAGAGUAGGACUAGGGGAAAAUCAAGAUCUAGCUGAGAAAGAACCACAGACAUUUCAAAAGACACUUGAGUUUGUGGAUGGAUUCCACCGUGUUCGUCCCAAGACAACUUGAGCCUCCAAAGGGUUCUGCCAAAGGCCCUGAAAAUUAAACCAAUGAAACUGCCCCGUGGCCAGCCUUGGGUUGGUCCUGGGUCUGUUGCAGAGCUGUGAACUGGUUAAAUGGCAAAGCUGGGGACAAAGACUGGAGAUUGCCACUACACCGUUCCUCCACUCAGUGCUGUUUGCCACGAGAGGACUUCCCGGUGAAAACCACUCCUGGAAAUUACGCUGUAAGGAGAACUAUAUGCAGGCCCAGACAGAAAAUGCUCCUUUCUCUGCAAAAAUAAAAUAUACGCACACACACACACACGCACGCACGCACGCACGCACACGCACCCUACAGAUAUUUGAAAUUGUACUCCCAGACCCAAAGGAGGAAGUUUAAGCUACUUGAACUCUGUGAAUUGGGAAAAAAUAGUCCAAGGUUGCACCGUGGAGACAGGACUUCUCCACUUCUCCCGGAACACCUAGAGCAAAUCAAGACCACUCCCCAGCGGGCCUGGAAGGCAGGGUGUGCACUCCAGGUGUCCGUGCCCCUAGGACACUUUCCAGAGCCCUCUUCCUGCGGCCCCAGCCUCCUCAACUGACUCGGAAUGGCGAUUGGCUCCCUCUGGUGCUCCGGGUGAGGUCUCCCUCAGAGCCCUCGAUCGCUGAGUUCCAGAAGGGGAGGCCCACUCACCCUUCCAGAGGAGGCCCCUGGGAAAAACAAUUCUGUCCCCCACCUCCUCGUCCGUAGUGUUUUCUUGAGCUUUUCAUUUUUUUUAGUAGGUGCGUCAAAGCCUAAAGUGGCCUGUGGGCACCUCCUGCCUCCUGCCAAGGAGCCCCUCACAUGACUACUGUCGUCCUGAGUCCACUCAUUAUCCUUGAGGGAUGUGUCGUGUAAAAUCUAUGUAUGAUCUAACACAAAGAGAUUUCCAAUGGUAACACUGGAUGCAGAUUGCUCUGACCGUCGCUUUUAUGUUAAAAUAUGUGUUUGUACACAACGACCCUUCUCGUUUCCUUUGAAAUAUGCAUAGCACUCCACUGUGGAGUUAGGCCAUAAUUUAUCCAAAUAAAUAAUUCUGAAUACUUAGGUUUUUCCCAAUCUUGUUAUUACAAUUAAUGCCACAGAGAAUAAACUUCAGCACAAUAUGGUCUGUCGUGUGUGCAAGUCUACGGGGUAUAUUUGUGGAAAUGCUGGACCCGAGGGUAUGGGCGUUUGACAUGUUGGUAAGAUCCUGUCAGAUUGCCCUCCGGGCAACAAGGCAGAGUAUAUUCCAUGGAGAGCACGAUUAAAUAGGAGGUUGGGCAUGAAUAAUACAGCUCCCUAAUUCACUUCCUACCAACUAUGAAUCCAACCAGGCAAUCCAUGAAGACUGUAGAAAAAGUCUGAAAAUCAAGGAUUCUUGCGAUGCUGGAAGAUGGCCUCCUCUCCAAGAGGUGAGAUUUUGCAGCCUGGGGCCUGGCAGGAUGGGGGUGAGGUGAAGGCGGCUGGGGGUGCUGAGUGGAGACGCCUGAUGCAGGGGCUUGGGCAUGGUUUCCUGUCGCGUCCACUCAAAGUAAAUAGGCCAAAGGCGCAGAAGCAACCAGACUGCAGCAGUCAGGGCCUUGCACGAACGUGUGUUUCUUUGUAGGCAAAGGCCUGCGUGCCAGGCUGUGAUGGCCGAGUGGUUAAGGCGUUGGACUCGAAAUCCAAUGGGGUUUCCCGCGCAGGUUCAAAUCCUGCUCACAGCGCUCUGUGGUGCUUUUUCUAUCCAAGUUCUAGGAUGAAAUUCUCACAAAGCACGGUCUUCUCAGCUUCUCAUCUUAUUCCACGAACUGAGAAGUAGGAGGGGAGCGGGGAGCUACCUAUCCAGAGGGCUG
Acinonyx jubatus (cheetah) is the source of this 2662-nucleotide long non-coding RNA. RefSeq lists it as uncharacterized. Lineage: Eukaryota; Metazoa; Chordata; Mammalia; Carnivora; Felidae. The record is from RefSeq and is a predicted model, not a curated record. The transcript has 3 exons.